RNAcentral lists this ribosomal RNA (255 nucleotides) under uncultured bacterium. RNAcentral describes it as "partial 16S ribosomal RNA". It matches the Rfam family "Bacterial small subunit ribosomal RNA", at positions 524 to 776 of the family's 1533-position model. The record is from RNAcentral.
UACGUAGGGGGCGAGCGUUGUCCGGAUUUAUUGGGCGUAAAGAGCUCGUAGGCGGUUUGGCAAGUCGGGUGUGAAAACUCCGGGCUCAACUCGGAGACGCCACUCGAUACUGCUAUGACUCGAGUCCGGUAGGGGAGUGCGGAAUUCCUGGUGUAGCGGUGAAAUGCGCAGAUAUCAGGAGGAACACCGGUGGCGAAGGCGGCACUCUGGGCCGGUACUGACGCUGAGGAGCGAAAGCGUGGGGGAGCGAACAGG